UAGUAUUGAGGAUAGAAAAGGCAGCUAUCACCCUUGUUAGGAGAUAUGGGAAGGGUCACCCCAUCUUUACUA
The submitters of this non-coding RNA (72 nucleotides) gave its source as unclassified sequences. The record is from Rfam.